Molecule: transfer RNA, 76 nt
Filed under: Candidatus Woesebacteria bacterium
Lineage: Bacteria; Candidatus Woeseibacteriota
Description: tRNA-Glu
Rfam family: tRNA
About the family: Transfer RNA (tRNA) molecules are approximately 80 nucleotides in length. Their secondary structure includes four short double-helical elements and three loops (D, anti-codon, and T loops). Further hydrogen bonds mediate the characteristic L-shaped molecular structure. tRNAs have two regions of fundamental functional importance: the anti-codon, which is responsible for specific mRNA codon recognition, and the 3' end, to which the tRNAs corresponding amino acid is attached (by aminoacyl-tRNA synthetases). tRNAs cope with the degeneracy of the genetic code in two manners: having more than one tRNA (with a specific anti-codon) for a particular amino acid; and 'wobble' base-pairing, i.e. permitting non-standard base-pairing at the 3rd anti-codon position.
Source: RNAcentral
GGCCCCAUCGUCUAGAGGCCAAGGACGCUAGGCUUUCAUCCUGGUAACACGGGUUCGAAUCCCGUUGGGGUCACCA